This 198-nucleotide ribosomal RNA is filed under the name uncultured bacterium. RNAcentral describes it as "partial 16S ribosomal RNA". It matches the Rfam family "Bacterial small subunit ribosomal RNA", at positions 328 to 539 of the family's 1533-position model. The record is from RNAcentral.
ACGCUCGACACCUACGGGAGGCAGCAGUGGGGAAUAUUGCACAAUGGGGGAAACCCUGAUGCAGCGACGCCGCGUGAAGGAAGAAGUAUUUCGGUAUGUAAACUUCUAUCAGCAGGGAAGAAAAUGACGGUACCUGACUAAGAAGCCCCCGGCUAACUACGUGCCACAGCCGCGGUAAUCUGAGCGGGCUGGCAAGGC